RNAcentral lists this ribosomal RNA (547 nucleotides) under uncultured bacterium. Its description in RNAcentral is "bacterial SSU rRNA". It matches the Rfam family "Bacterial small subunit ribosomal RNA", at positions 355 to 896 of the family's 1533-position model. The record is from RNAcentral.
UAGGGAAUUUUUCACAAUGAGUGAAAGCUUGAUGGAGCAAUGCCGCGUGAACGAUGAAGGUCUUUAAGAUUGUAAAGUUCUUUUAUUUGGGAAGAAUGACUUUAGCAGGUAAUGGCUAGAGUUUGACUGUACCAUUUUGAAUAAGUGACGACUAACUAUGUGCCAGCAGUCGCGGUAAUACAUAGGUCGCAAGCGUUAUCCGGAUUUAUUGGGCGUAAAGCAAGCGCAGGCGGAUUGAAAAGUCUGGUGUUAAAGGCAGCUGCUUAACAGUUGUAUGCAUUGGAAACUAUUAAUCUAGAGUGUGGUAGGGAGUUUUGGAAUUUCAUGUGGAGCGGUGAAAUGCGUAGAUAUAUGAAGGAACACCAGUGGCGAAGGCGAAAACUUAGGCCAUUACUGACGCUUAGGCCUGAAAGUGUGGGGAGCAAAUAGGAUUAGAUACCCUAGUAGUCCACACCGUAAACGAUAGAUACUAGCUGUCGGGGCGAUCCCCUCGGUAGUGAAGUUAACACAUUAAGUAUCUCGCCUGGGUAGUACAUUCGCAAGAAUG